Brienomyrus brachyistius is the source of this 942-nucleotide long non-coding RNA. RefSeq lists it as uncharacterized. The transcript has 4 exons. The record is from RefSeq and is a predicted model, not a curated record. NCBI's taxonomy places the organism in Eukaryota, Metazoa, Chordata, Actinopteri, Osteoglossiformes, Mormyridae.
CCCGGACAUACGACCAGCUCUCCGACCAGUCGGAAUUGUACGCUGUAGGAGAACUUCGGACAGAUUUUAAAUAAAUCAUGAUGAAUGGGGAGAGAAAAAUAAGAAGGUCACAAUCUCUGGCAGGCCAGGGGCUCAAUUUUAGAGGUGCACAGAAAGGUAACUGAAAGAGUAUGCCAUAAUGCCUGUUAGCUCGGUUUCAGCCCAAGAAGAUUGGGCUGAAAGAGCUUAGAAAUCGCCACUGGACCAGAAUGCCUUGCUCUGGCCUGCCCUAUGUGUCAUCCAACUACCCGCCACACCAUUUAGGCUAUUAUUCAGUGUGCCGCAUCACAUGACAGGCACACUCCGUCCCCCGCAGGCUUCUCCCUGACAAACGCAGAUGGUGGGCUGCAUGCGGACAAUAAACGAGGCCCGGAUGAAUUUACGCUCUUCAGCACUCGGCAGUGAGGAACCCAGCAUGCAGCUUUAUGGAUUCCCGAUGACUGAGAAAACGAGCUGUCGCAGAACACAGAGGUUGGAGAUCGGCGAUAGGACCAGCCAGAGGUUUUUCUCUUGUGGCAUUGACAGCCGAGGGAAUUAUUAAGAGGUCAUGAAGCUAUACCUGCAAAUUGAGGGGCAUGUUUGCAGCUAGAUUAGGAAUAUAAGGCAUACUGGGAAUAAUAUUAGGAAAGCCACUUGGGUUAGGACACAACACAGGGCCGCUUGGCCCGCGGAUGGGAAGCGGACCUGCUCCUUGAUUUGGGAAUGUCUCUUUCCAGGAGGAAUAUGAAAAUUGAAACAGUAGUGAAGUGUGUAAGGAUGAAAGGGAGAAUAAUUUGUAGUGAGUGGAGUUAGGAUGGAUGCAGGGGACUGGUCAGGUUUCCUGGGGAAUUGAAUCCCAUCCAAGGUAAUCCUGCCUAUGUCUCUCAGACACUGAGCAUCAUAUUGCAGGGUUAGGGUUGCCCC